AUUGAGCGCUGGCGGCAGGCUUAACACAUGCAAGUCGAGCGGAGAUGAGGUGCUUGCACCUUAUCUUAGCGGCGGACGGGUGAGUAAUGCUUAGGAAUCUGCCUAUUAGUGGGGGACAACAUUCCGAAAGGAAUGCUAAUACCGCAUACGUCCUACGGGAGAAAGCAGGGGAUCUUCGGACCUUGCGCUAAUAGAUGAGCCUAAGUCGGAUUAGCUAGUUGGUGGGGUAAAGGCCUACCAAGGCGACGAUCUGUAGCGGGUCUGAGAGGAUGAUCCGCCACACUGGGACUGAGACACGGCCCAGACUCCUACGGGAGGCAGCAGUGGGGAAUACUGGACAAUGGGGGGAACCCUGAUCCAGCCAUGCCGCGUGCGUGAAGAAGGCCUUAUGGUUGUAAAGCACUUUAAGCGAGGAGGAGGCUACUGAGACUAAUACUCUUGGAUAGUGGACGUUACUCGCAGAAUAAGCACCGGCUAACUCUGUGCCAGCCGCCGCGGUAA
RNAcentral lists this ribosomal RNA (501 nucleotides) under uncultured bacterium. RNAcentral's name for it is "partial 16S ribosomal RNA". It matches the Rfam family "Bacterial small subunit ribosomal RNA", at positions 30 to 523 of the family's 1533-position model. The record is from RNAcentral.